ACGGCCUUGUCGUAAUAUUGCAAUUGGUGGAGUGAUCGAAUUUAUUGUCGACAACAUUCCUGGAACGGCCGAAUUAGAAAAUGGCGUAUAAUUUAGGGGCGAAAUGUAGUCAAGUUGCGAUCAUGGAGUCCAUUUACGCUUAUAUGAUUUACCGUUUGGAUUUACCGCAUACUACAGACAACAGCGUCGAUAAGUUUAAUAAUAACAUGUAUUUCUAUAGCGCCAUUUCCUAUAGCUCAAUGGCGCUUAAUUUUAACCGAGAUUUUAACUUUAGACUGGAUUUUGAGCAAGAUUCGCGCUCAUGCAUGCAGUUGAAUCUGACAGGAUCGUCAAUACAGAUAUAUAUAAGUUAGUUUCCACAUAAGUUAAUCCAAUGGUAUACAGCUAAUUCAAUGAAGGUUGUCCUUCCAAAAACUAGCCUGCGUAGCAGGCGGUAGAAGCUAGAAUUCCUAUAAUCUCGUGCCCGCGAAUACCGCCUGCUACGCAGGCUAUCCAAAAACGUAAACCUUAAACCACUGUGCUUAAACUCUGAGCGCGCAAGGGAUGAUGGGUUAUUGCUUAUUUAUAGACUCAUAAACUUUGAAAUUUGACUUUGCAAGAAUAACUAAGGCAUACAGAAGACUCACGACAGAAAACAUACUUGCUGCAAAGGCAAUUUUCUGAGUUUAAGGGCCUAAUAGGUGAAAACACAUCAUCCCUUGCGCGCUCAGAGUUUAAGAUUCAAGUUUUUGGAAGGAGAACCUUAACUGAAUCAGCUGAAUAUACGACGGUUAAUAGUUUAAAAUUCUAACAAAUAAUAACAAAAAAUGAGAUAAAAAAAUAGGUACGCGACCGCGUACAUGUAUCUGCGCAUUAAAGGUCCAGACACGCCGGACGCGAUUCGACAACGCGACGCGAUUUUUCGAUUUUCACUGACCGAUAACUUUGAUCCAAGUUUAAAUUUUCCAAAUAUUUAGAUGCGCUAUAACAUUUUAAGUUACUUGGUCUACAUAUGUUUCUAACUGAUUUGCUCUCAUUGGCUGUUUUUCAAACUAACUGAAAAAUCGCGUCGCGUUGUCGAAUCGCGUCCGGUGUGUCUGGACAUUAAGGCCUGAUUCCACGACGGCGAAAUUCGUCACGAGAACUUGUGUCUGCGAAAUACGGUGGUUGCACAUGAGCGAUUGUAUUGAAUUGGCCCACUUUGUCCCCUUUCGCAGUAAGUAGAAAUGUUUCGCAUUUCGCCGAGAAAAAACGCUCGUGGAAUCAGGCCUUUACUGCAUUGAUGUUGCAUUCUCGGAAUCACAUUUUUACAGCAAUUGUGCGAAAUUGUGCUAGUUGAAAUUAUAUGCCUGCUUCAGAUAUAAUAUUUACAUUUAACCAGUGACUUCUAAAUUAAGAGGACGAGAACCAUUUAUAUCCCGAAUCACGGCAACCGAUUACAAUCAUACAAAAAUGUUUCUUUUUAUCUGGAGCUAAAUAUCUGCUAUUCAUACAGUUCAUUACUUUUAAGAACAAUUUAAAGAAAAUAAUUAAUUAAGGCUAUAAAAUGUGUGGAUUCAAAGACGUGGGAUUAGACGUCUGUACAUGGAGUCAUGAGCUAAUAAUAGUUUCUGACAUUUAAAACAACAGGGCUACGUUUAUACUAUACUUUGUUUUUAUAGUUUAGCUAAGUUUUAGAGGCCUCCAUUAAAUAACAGUCAAGAUAUACACGCAAAUAUAAUUUGCUUGUCUAUAUUUAAAAUUUGUAAUUGUUUCGUGAAGAUUCAACCAUAAAACAAUUGCCGGAAAUGCAAGCCCUGAUUAUAAAAACUCAGGGAAAACCCGUGCGGUAUGAAAUGCGUGGCGUAAACAUGUCAAUCAAAUAUCAUUCUAUA
Molecule: long non-coding RNA, 1853 nt
Filed under: Paramuricea clavata
Lineage: Eukaryota; Metazoa; Cnidaria; Anthozoa; Malacalcyonacea; Plexauridae
Source: RNAcentral